UGAUGCUCCCCUUGUAGUUCUUUGAAUAAUUUAAAAAUUAUUGCUUUAACGAAUGAUCUAAAUUUGAGAAUUUGAAUUUGAGAGGAAAUAGUGCAAAAUAAAUGCGUGGAGAGAUCAUGGAAUCCCCAAAUGGUUUGAUUGGCCUCCUUGUUUCCUCCUUGUCCAGGCUCUAGAUGAAGUCCUUCCUUUCCCAAGGGAGGGGAAAGGCAGCAGGAUGUGAACCAGAGGUGGUGCUUUAGGAAAGCCCCUCCAGCCUGGGAAGGAGCUUUUGGCUCCAGACUCGUUCCCAGUCCCCAGGAGCAGCAGGACCUGUGCUGCUCCCAGCAGAGAAAAACGGCCAAAGAAUAAAGCAAGAGCUUCCCUCAGUGAAAACCUUCCCCGUCCCAUGCUGGGUUUGCACACACACAGGGCUCAAUCCCUGCUGGAAUCCCAGUCACAGCCCCCAGAUCAGUGUGCACUUUAAAGUCUCACAGCCUGACCAGGACAAUCUCCUGCUUCUGGACAUGGAAAAUUGGUUUUUCAUUCUUACAGCACCAGCUCAAGAGAAUCCUCUAAGGCUGAAACAAAGACAAGGAACCUUUUGAGACAAAAAGAGCCAGAGCAAGUUGUUGUGGGAAAGGAAAGUUAA
Long non-coding RNA from Catharus ustulatus (Swainson's thrush), 628 nucleotides. RefSeq lists it as uncharacterized. Lineage: Eukaryota; Metazoa; Chordata; Aves; Passeriformes; Turdidae. The transcript is spliced from 3 exons. The record is from RefSeq and is a predicted model, not a curated record.